ACCUGCGGAAGGAUCAUUGUCGUGACCCUGACCAAAACAAACCGUGAACAUGUCAUCUAUGCUGCCGGGUGAUGGGUCCUGCACCUAUCUCUCGGAAAAGGGCACCUACCUCCCUUGGAAGGUUAGGUGCCCCAAAAGAACCCACGGCGCCGUAUGGCGUCAAGGAACACUGACGAAGCCUUGUACAGGUGGGCACCGGCUUGCCGGUUCCAGCCUCGUGCAGCGAUGAUCUGAUAAUCCACAUGACUCUCGGCAACGGAUAUCUUGGCUCUCGCAUCGAUGAAGAACGUAGCAAAAUGCGAUACCUGGUGUGAAUUGCAGAAUCCCGUGAACCAUCGAGUUUUUGAACGCAAGUUGCGCCUAAGGCCUUCUGGUCAAGGGCACGUCUGCCUGGGCGUCACGCCAAUAGACACUCCCCAUCCAUCACGUCGAUGAUGAGGAUGUGGUUUUUGGCUCUCCGUGCAUCUAUGUGCGGAGGGCCUAAGUUUGGGCUGCCGGCGGUGCCGAUCACAGCACAAGGUGGAUGGCUCAAGUUAUUCUCAGUGCUAUGAUACGGACCGUGGUGAUGGCCUAGCACCCAUGUACCGAAGCACACAUUGCUCGGACCGCGACCCCAGGUCAGUCGGGACUACCCGCUGAAUUUAAGCAUAUCAAUAAGCGG
This 661-nucleotide ribosomal RNA is filed under the name Bouteloua juncea. RNAcentral's name for it is "eukaryotic LSU rRNA". The stretch from base 245 to 400 matches the Rfam family "5.8S ribosomal RNA". Lineage: Eukaryota; Viridiplantae; Streptophyta; Magnoliopsida; Poales; Poaceae. The record is from RNAcentral.